This is a long non-coding RNA of Octopus sinensis (East Asian common octopus), 353 nucleotides long. RefSeq lists it as uncharacterized. The record is from RefSeq and is a predicted model, not a curated record. Lineage: Eukaryota; Metazoa; Mollusca; Cephalopoda; Octopoda; Octopodidae. The transcript has 2 exons.
AGAUGGAGCAUCGUCGGUUUAUAGUGAGCGGCAAACUAUUUCUUUAAAGCAAAAUAUUACUUCCACAUGUAGAUAUGUAUUUAUUAUUACACUGUAUUGCUGCUAGUGAAAAUAUUGGUGAUAAAAUUCAGUUAAACAUGAUGCAACCAGAAUUUAAUGUUGAAAGCCUAUAUUACUAUUUACUCCUGUUCCCAGCAACUGUGGUAGUUAUUGUUGUAUGUUUAUUUCUGAACUGGUUUGGACUGAAACUUUUCCAACACAACUAAACCCACCACUGAAGAAUUUGUCGAGGAGCUAUGUGCAUGAGAAAUGUUAAUAUUAUUUAAAUAAAACAUUUUAAAUUGGUGUAAAAA